Danio rerio (zebrafish) is the source of this 747-nucleotide non-coding RNA. NCBI's taxonomy places the organism in Eukaryota, Metazoa, Chordata, Actinopteri, Cypriniformes, Danionidae. The record is from RefSeq and is a predicted model, not a curated record.
UGAUUUCUGUUUUUUGUUUUAGAAUUUCGCUUAGCCAUGUCAAUAACACUUUACGUUUUUGUGCACAACAGUGACAUCCAGAAGGAAGUUAUAAAGGAAACACCAGCUGAUACAAGUGCUGCAGAAGAAUUCAAUCGAAUAUCAGGAAGAAAUGUGAGAUGCAAGUUCUACGCUGGAUUGGACACACACUGCUCGUUUAAUUGAAAUUAAAAAAAAAAAACAGGAGAAAAUUGCAGAAGAAAACUAGAAGAGAUUUUGCAACAUGUUUAUUCAAAGUCAUCUGAUGUAAUGCUUGUCCGCACAGCAGUUCUCCGGGGUCUUUCAGUCCUUUAGAGGGAUGAGUCUAAAGAAAUUUUCAGGAUGUGUUUUGAUGUAAUUGUAGAGUCGGACUUCAGUGCAGAAGAUGUAGGCCUGCUGCCUGUCAUGUGUGAAGAUGUCUAAAGAACCGCAUUAUGGAUGCAAUGUGGGCCUUUAUACUGGAAGGAAAAGUGGUUAUGGACUUUGCCACAUGCAGUAUGUCUCUUUUUUUGCUUUGAUUUACACACUGAAUUCGGACUACCCAAAGACUUUGAGCAAUGCAUUUGAAUUUGUUCAACGUGUGUUGCUUUUGCUGGGAGGGAAGCUUAAUGUGUUUUUAUCUGCGAGUGCCUAUAUACUGCUGUGCUUUAUGUUUAAAGGUUCAGGUAUAAUGGCAUGUUUAAUUACAAAGUGUUGCUUUUUAACAUGUUGCUGUUUGCAGUGUUACAU